This is a microRNA precursor of Anopheles sinensis, 77 nucleotides long. It matches the Rfam family "mir-980 microRNA precursor family". The record is from Rfam. NCBI's taxonomy places the organism in Eukaryota, Metazoa, Arthropoda, Insecta, Diptera, Culicidae.
UCUACAAUUCGGUCGUUCAUUAGGUCAUCUAGCAACGUUUCUUUAGCUAGCUGCCUAGUGAAGGGCAACAUUGUAUU